AGAGUUUGAUCCUGGCUCAGGAUGAACGCUAGCGGCGUGGAUAAGGCAUGCAAGUCGAGGGACCACCUUCGGGUGGGACCGGCAGACGGGUCAGUAACACGUGGAUUACCUACCUUAAAGUCAGGGAUAACCCCAAGAAAUUGGGGCUAAUACCUGAUAGUUCCCGCAAGGGUAAAGAUUUAUCGCUUUAAGAUGGGUCCGCGGCUUAUCAGCUUGUUGGUAAGGUAAUGGCUUACCAAGGCUAUGACGGGUAGGCGGGGUGAGAGCCCGACCGCCGACAAUGGGAUUGAGAACGGCCCAUACUCCUACGGGAGGCAGCAGUCGAGAAUCCUUCGCAAUGUGCGAAAGCAUGACGAGGCGACGCCGCGUGGAAGAUGAAGCCCUGCGGGGUGUAAAUUCCUUUUAUAGGGGAAGAACUUUUGUGACGGUACCUUAUGAAUAAGGGGCUACUAAUCACGUGCCAGCAGUAGCGGUAAUACGUGAGCCCCGAGCGUUAUCCGGAUUUACUGGGCGUAAAGAGUUCGUAGGCGCUCUAUCAAGUUUUCUGUUAAAUCUCUAGGGCCCAACCUUAGAGCUGCAGAAAAAACUGAUAGGGUAGAGGAUGUCAGGGGCUAAUGGAACUCUCGGUGUAGGGGUGGAAUCCGUUGAUAUCGAGGGGAACACCAAAAGCGAAGGCAUUUAACUGGGGCAGUCCUGACGCUGAGGAACGAAAGCUAGGGCAUGGAAGAGGAUUAGAUACCCUCGUACUCCUAGCUGUAAAUGAUGGAUACUAGCUAUUGGAAGUGUCGACCCUUUCAGUGGCGAAGCUAACGCGUUAAGUAUCCCGCCUGGGUAGUACGGCCGCAAGGCUGAAACUCAAAGGAAUAGACGGGGAUCCACACAAGCGGUGGACCACGUGGCUUAAUUCGACGAUAAGCGAGGAACCUUACCAGGGCUUGACAUACUAGUGAAACCCCGUAGAAACACGGGGCCACUCACAAGGACAAUAGUACAGGUGCUGCAUGGUUGUUGUCAGCAUGUGCUUUGAAGUGCUCCCUUAAAUGGGGUAACAUGCGCAACCCCUAUCCUGUGUUACAAGUGUCACAGGAGACCGCCCCGCCCUCUGUGUAUAUGUUUAUUACAUAUGCUUAGAGGGCGGGGAGGAAGGUGGGGAUGACACCAAAUCAGCAUGGCCCUUUGACGCCCUGGGCUGCACACGUGGUACAAUGGUUGGUACAGCGGGUUGCCAAGUCGUAAGACGGAGCUAAUCCCUUAAAGCCAAUCUUAGUUCGGAUCGAGGGCUGCAACUCGCCCUCGUGAAGCCGGAAUCGCUAGUAAUCGCAGAUCAGCCACGCUGCGAUGAAUAUGUUCCUGGAUCUUGUACUCACCGCCCGUCACACCAAGAGAGCUGAUAGUACCCGAAGUUCCGCUUUUGCGGACCUAAGGUAAGGUCAGUAAUAAUGGUGAAGUCGUUGAUUCAAUCU
RNAcentral lists this ribosomal RNA (1463 nucleotides) under metagenome. RNAcentral's name for it is "bacterial SSU rRNA". It matches the Rfam family "Bacterial small subunit ribosomal RNA". The record is from RNAcentral.